UCACAGCUGAGCCAGAGCCCAUCCUGGCAAAUUGGGCCCCUCCUGGUCCUAAAGAGCCCCAGUUCAGCAAGUUGGUAUGGAUUACCCCCAAAUCACCAGAACAACAGUUUCAUUUGGAACAAUUAAGCAGGUCGUAUUCUGGAGCAAUAAGAAGCCCAUGUAUUAUGCAUGAAGAGCUGAUUCAUAACUGGAACCAGUGUGUGAUAAAAGACAGUGCCAAUACAAAUAUGUACAAGUAAAGCAGAUAGUUGACUGAAAGGAACAAAAAUUGCUUUAUUACAUUGUUGUCAACACAGAGAUAUUGGUGCAGUUUUUUUCUGACCUUUUCAACAGGGUUUUUGAAGGUUUGACUGUUAAGAAUAGUGUUAAAAUGUGGUUUUAAGAAGCAAAAUGGUUUUCUUGUAUUUACUUUGGAAGGGACUACCAAUUCCUCAGUGACCUUUUUAAGAGCAAUAUAAAAGUAUGUUGCCCAUUGUUUCCAAGUUCUCUAUGUCUUUUUAUUCAGGGCAGCAAGCACCUUGAACAACAGGCCAGGGAUUACAGGGCGGAAGCAUACUGCUUCAAAUUUAAAGCACACUUACCACAACACAUUCCUCUGUUGAUUGUGAAAGUGCGAACUUGUGAAAGUCUGACAGACCUCUCUUUUUCAUUAUUCCUUACAUUUCCUAAACACAUUAGCCAAAAUGUAUCCUUGGUGAUACAGAGUGAUGAUACAGAGUGUCAGUAUCCAUUGUUUCAGAAUCUUUCGGUUUUGUUUUCAAUUUUCUGAGUCAUCUGAGUGAACCUAAAUGAAGUGUCAUUGAGCCAGUGGUCUGGAUGAGAACUCCGUCCAUGAAAUGAGAAAAAAGACAUUCAACACACAUUAGCAGAAUGUAAAGGUUUCUUCUUAUUCACAGGAAACCCUGUCUUUAUUAAUGCCAAGGAACAAGAUAGUUUUACAUGAAGUGAAUGUUGCUUUUGUUCUUUAGUGUGCAAUUUCAUCUCAGUCUCAUGUCUGGGCUUAUAGUUUAAAGCAGCUACAAAUAUAUUUAUCCUUGGUGGCAUUGAUCUGCUUUCUUUCCUAAUGCCCUGACCUUAGGCUGCAGUACUUUCCAUUUCAAUAGCAGUAAGCACAGCUCAGUGAAUAUGAAUCCACACUGUGGAACACUCUUUAAGAUAAAUACAUGCUAUUGUUUAUGGAGAACUUAAAGGUGUAAGCUAUGCUGUUUAUCUAAAGUAGCUUACUUGUUUAAUCAAAAUAUUAAAUCAGGUUGCAAACGUUUAAUUAUUUUCACUUUCUGAAAUCUGUAAACAGUCCCUUCAGAAAGCAAUCUUGUUGCUAAUGUCCUGUAAUCAAUUUCUUUGUGUUUAUUACUAUGACAGGGGGGUUUAUUUAAUAAAUGACUUAAAGGGUCAAUGUGUUAUUGAAAUGUCAUUCUUAAACAAUAUAGAAAUAUAAACAAUACAGUGCUGUACUGUAUGUGACAACAGGAGGGUGUUGUUUUUAACAUAUUUAUCCUGUUUGGUUAUUUCUUCUCUAUUGUAACUUCAUUCUGUCAGCUGUGAAGCAGCACGUGUCCAUCUACAGAGCAGAACUCUCCCCCCAUGACCUGCGGCUUCUCUUAUUUGAAAUUUAAUUGUAACGGCGUGCUGGUAAGUGAGCUGCAGCUGUGACGUAGUGAGCAGCUCUCCUGCCCCAGAUGAAAAUUUAAUCAGCCUGGCUAGUGAUAUUAUCACAGGAGAAAUUAUGAGAAGAAAAAUAGAACAAGAAUUACUGUAAUGUUUUGCAUUUCAUAUACCUCUUUUGAUGGACCAGCUGGCUCAUUUCUUAAGA
Lepisosteus oculatus (spotted gar) is the source of this 1813-nucleotide non-coding RNA. NCBI's taxonomy places the organism in Eukaryota, Metazoa, Chordata, Actinopteri, Semionotiformes, Lepisosteidae. The record is from RefSeq and is a predicted model, not a curated record.